This 541-nucleotide long non-coding RNA is filed under the name Pan troglodytes (chimpanzee). Its description in RNAcentral is "long non-coding RNA NONPTRT011698". The record is from RNAcentral. Lineage: Eukaryota; Metazoa; Chordata; Mammalia; Primates; Hominidae.
GGAGUGCAGUGGUGUGAUCUCGGUUCACUGCAACCUCAACCUCCUCGGCUCAAGUGGAUCCUCCCACCUCAGCUUCCUAAGUAGCUGAGACUACAGGAAAAAAUGACAAGCAAACCAGCUCGUUUAAAGGAUUCUAAAGAUUCCAAGUUAUGGUCCACAGUCAAUAUAUAUUCAGCCCCAACUCUGACAACUAUAUCUAAGGAAACAUCCAUUAAGGAAAGUACUUUGCAACCUACCAAGUAUCAUCACAAGAGCUAUGAAAGUGAAGAGAGACAUACGUUAUCUAAGAAUCUCAGAGAGAUGACUCAGUCAGCAUCCUCUCUUGGUGUACAAUGGUAGGGACAGCUACUGUGUCAUCUGGAGCAUGACAAUGAGAACACAGACACUGGAUCGUCCUGAUAUAGCCUGCAGUCCAUCUGGGCCUCUAGACAUUCAUUUGCAUUUGCAUUCAUGCGCAUCCCCUACUACUCCAACUCCUACACCUUUUGGCAGGAUAUAUCCACACAGCUGGAUUGGAAUCACAAGAUGUUUUUAUUUUUUG